Molecule: long non-coding RNA, 1319 nt
Organism: Tyto alba (common barn owl)
Lineage: Eukaryota; Metazoa; Chordata; Aves; Strigiformes; Tytonidae
Exons: 3
Source: RefSeq, a predicted model, not a curated record
GUUUGGAAAAAACAGGAAAAUACAGUUUUGUAGAUGUUGGGACUAUAUAUCUAUGAACACAAAGGGAAACAAAACCAGGAGAGGAGAGACGGGGUGGAGGAGCCCUGCUUGUGCCUGACACACUGCUUGGGGACUUGACAGUCUGACUCCUGCUCCAAGCCCUGCCUUCAGACUACUGCCUGACCUCAGGCCACACCCAAAAAACAAGUGAGACUAUAUUGGACAAAUCCUCCUCUGGCAGUGGGCCGAUCAGCCAGAGCAUCAUUCGCCGAGUCCCGACCUAUUUCACACCAUGCAAAAUCACUGCGGGAAAAGGCUGACAAGGUCCAGACAAUUCAUAGCACUCUACCUUUGCUCAUGACAGUAACACCAGCCAAUUGCUAGCGUCUCGGUGUCUGGCCAAAGUGGAUGGCAGACGGCUGUCUGAAGCUGGGACCUGGGAAAAUGGGGAUAACAUCAGGAAAAAACAAAAACAUCUUACAUACCUACUACUCCCAUCUCAUCCCGCUCUGGGGAGAUGCCUACUUGCCGUGGACUGAGUCAGUGCCCGGUCUUGUGGUCCUUCAGCACUCCAUGCUUGCAGACUUGGGGCUGUUGGCACAUCUUGUCCUACCUGCUGCGUGCAGGGACUUUGCAGCCAACACUGCAAACCAGCGGCUUGGCUAUUUCCACCCUGUUUUGGCUGUUUUGGCCUACCUGCCUGUGUGAACAAACAUGCAGCCUCCGCAGUGGGUCAAGCAGGUCAGGAUGGAGCAACAGCAUCUACUUGGGUGUAUUUGGUGGCUCCUUUGAAAAAUCUCCCCGGAUUUUUAUUGGAUCUUAGGUUACCACAAAGUAUCUGCCUGGAUCUGUGCUUUGAUUCUCCACUCCGUAGAUUUAUCCCAGGCUGGCUGGGGUAGCGCCUUUCCCUCAGAGACCACAACUGACAGCUCUCUUCUCAAGGAGAGGGAGGAAUGGGGCAGUGGUUGUGUUUUGAGGGUGGGGAGAGGGAAAGGCUAUUUGAGGCCACUGUUUGCACGGGUGAGCUUCAGGACUGGUGAGGAUGAUCAGGAACCAUCUUAUUUCUCCUUCCCUGGAUUGCUAACUCCAACUGGGGGACUACCACUCCUGGCUCUUCCAUUGCCCCCCUCCCCAGGUCACACGUUCCUGGAUCUCCCUACCCAGCCGUGCCACUCCAGCUCUACCUCAACCUCCCCACUGCUCUACAGGCAAGUCCCAGCCCUUCAGUUGCAGUGUGGCAAAAUUCAGUUUUGCCUGUGUGCCUGCGCUGGCUCUUCAUAAAAUUUGGCUCUUCAAAUCAAAAAGUUGGCUCUUCAUAA